GUUCAAAUCGUAGUGAGGUCAAAAUGGGUAAAGUUCAGUUAGCAUUGCUUUGUCUAGUUGCUAUUGCAACAGCUACAAGCGGUUAUCGAGUUUAUCGAAUAGACUAUGCUGAUCGACGUGAUCUUUGUCGUAUGUUUCCAAAUCUUUGCCAUAAUCCUGGUUAUCAGCGAUAUCCUCCGCCUCCGCCUCGUCGUCGCCUCUAUGAAGUUUUUAUUGCCCCUAAACCACCGCAUCAUCCAGGUCACCCAGGUCAUCCAGGUCAUCCAGGCCCUCCAGGCCCUCCAGUCCCUCCAGUCCCUCCAGGCCAUCCAGGUCAUGGCCGUUUGGGCCUGACUGAUAUACUACUACGUGGAGAUGAAGAUGAUUGUGGCCCGUAUGGUUGCGAUUAUUACCGCCAAUAUUCUCCAUAUCCUCGUCGGUAUGGCAGUUGGUUUGGUCGUUAAUAUGCCAGUCACUAUAGCCGUCGAUAUGCCUAAUGUGCCGAAUUAAAUGAUCUUUCAACACCGUCCUUGAUUAUUAAUAUAAUAUUUUACCACUAUAACCUGACAUAGGUGACUUACGGAGGGGCCACUGCAAACUAUAAGUCACUAUCUGCAACCAUAUAAUGGUUUAUACAAAAUAAAUAAAUCUAUUCAAGUAAAA
This is a long non-coding RNA of Phlebotomus papatasi, 642 nucleotides long. RefSeq lists it as uncharacterized. The transcript is spliced from 3 exons. The record is from RefSeq and is a predicted model, not a curated record. NCBI's taxonomy places the organism in Eukaryota, Metazoa, Arthropoda, Insecta, Diptera, Psychodidae.